UACGGGGGGUGCAAGCGUUGUCCGGAAUCAUUGGGCGUAAAGAGUUCGUAGGUGGCACGUUAAGUCUGGUGUUAAAGGCGGAAGCUCAACUUCCGUAGGGCACUGGAUACUGGCGAGCUUGAAUGCGGUAGAGGUAAAGGGAAUUCCUGGUGUAGCGGUGAAAUGCGUAGAUAUCAGGAGGAACAUCGGUGGCGUAAGCGCUUUACUGGGCCGUAAUUGACACUGAGGAACGAAAGCCGGGGUAGCAAAUGGG
Molecule: ribosomal RNA, 253 nt
Filed under: uncultured bacterium
Lineage: Bacteria
Description: partial 16S ribosomal RNA
Rfam family: Bacterial small subunit ribosomal RNA
Source: RNAcentral